RNAcentral lists this ribosomal RNA (497 nucleotides) under uncultured bacterium. Its description in RNAcentral is "partial 16S ribosomal RNA". It matches the Rfam family "Bacterial small subunit ribosomal RNA", at positions 28 to 507 of the family's 1533-position model. The record is from RNAcentral.
GAUGAACGCUGGCGGCGUGCCUAAUACAUGCAAGUCGAGCGAACAGACGAGGAGCUUGCUCCUCUGACGUUAGCGGCGGACGGGUGAGUAACACGUGGAUAACCUACCUAUAAGACUGGGAUAACUUCGGGAAACCGGAGCUAAUACCGGAUAAUAUAUUGAACCGCAUGGUUCAAUAGUGAAAGACGGUUUUGCUGUCACUUAUAGAUGGUUCCGGGCCGCAUUAGCUAGUUGGUAAGGUAACGGCUUACCAAGGCAACGAUGCGUAGCCGACCUGAGAGGGGGAUCGGCCACACUGGAAGUGAGACACGGUCCAGACUCCUACGGGAGGCAGCAGUAGGGAAUCUUCCGCAAUGGGCGAAAGCCUGACGGAGCAACGCCGCGUGAGUGAUGAAGGUCUUCGGAUCGUAAAACUCUGUUAUUAGGGAAGAACAAAUGUGUAAGUAACUAUGCACGUCUUGACGGUACCUGAUCAGAAAGCAACGGCUAACUACGUG